GGGGAAUAUUGCACAAUGGAGGAAACUCUGAUGCAGCAACGCCGCGUGUGUGAUGAAGGUCUUCGGAUUGUAAAGCUCUGUCAUCUGGGACGAUAAUGACGGUACCAGAUGAGGAAGCCACGGCUAACUACGUGCCAGCAGCCGCGGUAAUACGUAGGUGGCAAGCGUUGUCCGGAAUUACUGGGCGUAAAGGGUGCGCAGGCGGACAUUUAAGUGAGAUGUGAAAGACCCGGGCUUAACUUGGGCAGUGCAUUUCAAACUGGAUGUCUGGAGUGCAGGAGAGGAGAACGGAAUUCCUAGUGUAGCGGUGAAAUGCGUAGAGAUUAGGAAGAAUACCAGUGGCGAAGGCGGCUUUCUGGACUGUAGCUGACGCUGAGGCAUGAAAGCGUGGGGAGCAAAC
Molecule: ribosomal RNA, 400 nt
Filed under: uncultured bacterium
Lineage: Bacteria
Description: bacterial SSU rRNA
Rfam family: Bacterial small subunit ribosomal RNA
Source: RNAcentral